CUAAAAAUCAAACAGUUUGGCAAUCGGUCCAAAAUUCGGCGAAUAAUUCCACUUUUAGAUUCAGCAGUACCUCUCUCCUCCAUAGAUUUCUAUGCACCGCUGCCUCGGCUGGCCCCGGUCCAAGAUGGCGGCGCUGCAGGCACAUCGCUCGAGUGGGCAACCGCAGUCAAUGAGGCGUCUACGUAUAUAUGUCUAUGGCUGAGAGGCGGUAAAUAGGAGCUGACUUCCAGUAGUGGCAAGACGGGGAUUUCACAUUGGAACGCCAGCACGGUGGAUGUGGCUAAUAUCUGACCAUGGUGAAGUCGUGUGCUGCCAUCUCCUGCACCAGUCGAUUUGUAAUAUUUCCUUUCAUAAGUUUCCCAAGCAGUCCAAGGACAGCACACUGAGAGAUCAAUGGAUACAGGCCAUCAGUAGAGAAGCGGUGAGGACCAAGAGGAGAUGAUCAUAAUUAUGUCUGCAGCAACCAUUUCAGGGAGGAGGACUUCAUCCUCUCAAAACAUGCUCAACACAAGCUUCUCAGGCCAGGGGCUGUACCAUCCCUCAAUCUGGGGAAACCAGAGAAAAAGAUCGCAGUGAGGACAACCCAAAGCAGCCCGGCAGCAGUGGCAUUAUACCAGCACAUCGACAUGGAGUCUGAACUAGAGCCUGAAGAGGACAGUGCUGCUGUUACAGAAGACCAUGCAUACUGUACAGACAUCGACACCCUGAAAAGGAAAUAUGACGAUCUAAUUGUACAGCUUGAAAAGCUAAGGCAGGACUUCAACAAUGCCAAACGUGGAGGGAAGCGCUGCAGAGUGACGUUGGAGGCCAUGUUAGCUAAAACCAAGGAAAUACAAGCCCUGUCUGAUGAUGCUCAUUCCAUGCUUGAUGCAUAUAAAGGUAUUCCUUGUUUAGAAGUACAUAUGAGUGACAUCCAGCAUAUGUAAAUAUAAUUAUGUAACUGCACAUUGCUCACCCACACAGUGCACUAGAACUGAGAUCAAUGUUUGUUAAUGCUUCAUGAGAUGAUGACUGGUUCACAGAUAACUGUACUUUUGCCUUCCACAACGUUAUCUAAACAAUUUUGCGGCUGUGAUACCCAACAUUCAUGUGGAAACUAUCUAAGCUAUUAACUAUGUUUGAUCACACUUAAUUUUCAAUUACAGGUAAAUUGAUGUUGAUAGACCCUGUUUCUUUACCAGAAUAAUGUCAUUUGUUUGUAACUCCCCAACACCUGAAAUUGGGACAUAUAUACAACACGCAUUUAGGUUGAAUAUUUAUGAAAAUUGCAAAUUAAACUCAAAGGGGCUGACUGAACUUUGAUGGUUCCUCAUGAAGCAUGAUGUGCUGUAUAAAUGCCGUCCACAUACUGCAAUCUGCCUGAAAGUUUGUGAUUGAUCACAGUCCUGCAGUGAUGACAUCCAUAUGCCAAUGUGCACUCAGUCAUAGCAUCACCUGCUGUAGAGGAAAUUACAUGUUUUACACUUUAAUGUUGUACUAUACUUUUAAUAAAUUUAUCUGCACUUUUUUUUAAUUUACUUUAAAUUAACUUCUUUUCUAUUGGUUGUUGCAAUUAGUGUCUGACAUGCUUUUAUUUUUUCUAUUUCUUGUCUUCUUUUGGCUGUUUUACUCAAUCAGUUUUAAUUAUUCUCGAAAUGAGUGUCCAUUGUAUUCAAUGAACCUUUUCUGAUUAAAGUGACUUCAUUUUUUAUUACACUACUUUAUUUUUUACAUUUUACUCUGAAAAACCUCUGUGUGUGUUAAGGUACUACAUAAAUGCUUGAUUUCUUGCUCAAGAACUUUUUUGCAAGCUGUUCUUGUUGACGUGUUUGUGGAACUUUCAUGAAAGUUCUUUGACAUUUCAGGUCUCAGUCAUCUGCUUCACAUUUAACAGAACAAAAGCAAAUUAAGCUUUUCAUACGAUCUUAAUUUGUUCAUUGUUUUGAAUUCCACAGCUGACUUACAAAUAGAAUAGCUGAAGCUUUGUUUUGAGGCAACCAGAAGAUUUGUGUGUUCUGACUGCAAGAAUUGCUCCUCCAGAAACUUUUUAUGGCCAUUUUUGUGGGAGGAAAAAAGCAACCAUUCCAGGGUAUGUGGGUCUGAGCAGCUGUGAAAAACCACCGUGCAGGUUUUGAAGCUGAUUAGUUUAGCUUGUCGAUGACAACAUGCACACGUUUUCUGCCCUGUUGAUAUCCUUGUGAAUUUUCCAUCCCUCUUUACAAUAAAACAUAAUUUGGAA
This is a long non-coding RNA of Acanthochromis polyacanthus (spiny chromis), 2218 nucleotides long. RefSeq lists it as uncharacterized. The record is from RefSeq and is a predicted model, not a curated record. NCBI's taxonomy places the organism in Eukaryota, Metazoa, Chordata, Actinopteri, Pomacentridae. The transcript has 4 exons.